This 264-nucleotide ribosomal RNA is filed under the name uncultured Ascomycota. Its description in RNAcentral is "partial 18S ribosomal RNA". It matches the Rfam family "Eukaryotic small subunit ribosomal RNA", at positions 619 to 888 of the family's 1831-position model. The record is from RNAcentral. Lineage: Eukaryota; Fungi; Ascomycota.
UUAAAAAGCUCGUAGUUGAACCUUGGGCCUGGCUGGCCGGUCCGCCUCACCGCGUGCACUGGUCCGGCCGGGCCUUUUCCUCUGCGGAACCCCAUGCCCUUCACUGGGUGUGGCGGGGAAACAGGACUUUUACUUUGAAAAAAUUAGAGUGCUCAAGGCAGGCCUAUGCUCGAAUACAUUAGCAUGGAAUAAUAGAAUAGGACGUGUGGUUCUAUUUUGUUGGUUUCUAGGACCGCCGUAAUGAUUAAUAGGGACAGUCGGGGG